Molecule: ribosomal RNA, 253 nt
Filed under: uncultured bacterium
Lineage: Bacteria
Description: partial 16S ribosomal RNA
Rfam family: Bacterial small subunit ribosomal RNA
Source: RNAcentral
CGGGGUGAGUAACGCGUGGGUAACCUGCCUCAUACAGGGGGAGUAACAGUUAGAAAUGACUGCUAAUACCGCAUAAGCGCACGGGGAUGCAUAUUCUUGUGUGAAAAACUCCGGUGGUAUGAGAUGGACCCGCGUCUGAUUAGCUAGUUGGUGAGGUAACGGCUCACCAAGGCGACGAUCAGUAGCCGACCUGAGAGGGUGACCGGCCACAUUGGGACUGAGACACGGCCCAAACUCCUACGGAAGGCAGCAG